This 465-nucleotide ribosomal RNA is filed under the name Vreelandella stevensii. RNAcentral's name for it is "partial 16S ribosomal RNA". It matches the Rfam family "Bacterial small subunit ribosomal RNA", at positions 338 to 795 of the family's 1533-position model. The record is from RNAcentral. Lineage: Bacteria; Pseudomonadati; Pseudomonadota; Gammaproteobacteria; Oceanospirillales; Halomonadaceae.
CCUACGGGAGGCUGCAGUGGGGAAUAUUGGACAAUGGGGGGAACCCUGAUCCAGCCAUGCCGCGUGUGUGAAGAAGGCCCUCGGGUUGUAAAGCACUUUCAGUGAGGAAGAACGCCUGGUGGUUAAUACCCAUCAGGAAAGACAUCACUCACAGAAGAAGCACCGGCUAACUCCGUGCCAGCAGCCGCGGUAAUACGGAGGGUGCGAGCGUUAAUCGGAAUUACUGGGCGUAAAGCGCGCGUAGGUGGCUUGAUAAGCCGGUUGUGAAAGCCCCGGGCUCAACCUGGGAACGGCAUCCGGAACUGUCAAGGUAGAGUGCAGGAGAGGAAGGUAGAAUUCCCGGUGUAGCGGUGAAAUGCGUAGAGAUCGGGAGGAAUACCAGUGGCGAAGGCGGCCUUCUGGACUGACACUGACACUGAGGUGCGAAAGCGUGGGUAGCAAACAGGAUUAGAUACCCGUGUAGUC